UGCUUUAGUCUUUGAAAACGUAAAAAUGCAA
Molecule: non-coding RNA, 31 nt
Filed under: Rattus norvegicus (Norway rat)
Lineage: Eukaryota; Metazoa; Chordata; Mammalia; Rodentia; Muridae
Source: RNAcentral